UAAUAAUUAGCUUAAUCGUAGAUAUUUUUCUCUCUCUACCACGUUGCCGUUUUUAUAGUUCCCCCAUGCCCUUUCCGCACCGCACUGCACUGCACUGUUAAUAGAUGAAGAUGAAUCAUUCAUUGGUUCCCUCCGCUGAAUUGCCGCCGGUUAAUGGUUUAGUCCGAAGACGGAAGACCUAACAUGGAGCCUCCUGAGGAAGCAAAACACUAGAAACGGAUCUGGAUUUCUCUUUUCAUUAGCUGCAUCAUAUAUACUAUGAUAGUUUUUACCCUUAGAAGUGAAUUCCUGCCCUAUGUUAUUUCCCUUGAGGCACUUGACUGGAACUAAGGUGAGACCUAGGGCCUAGUCCCACUUGAUGUGUGGCUAUUCAUUAACAUUAAAAGUUUGAUCUUUAAAAUUUAGGGUUUACUUUAGACCUAAUCUGUAUUUCAAUACACUGGGCUUUAGAGGCUAAAUGCUUGUGAAAUGCUAACAUUGCUAGAAUGGGCAAAAUGGAAUUAGGUGCUAUCAGCCAUAGUCUCUUUUGUUCUUUUUCAAUUUUUAUCUGGGUUUUCUCUAUAUAGUUGCAAUUCCUUUAAUUCUUACAAUCAUAUUUGUAGUGAUGUCUCCAUACAGCUGGAUGAGUCGGAAAUGAUGGUUUAUUCUUGACUAUCAGCUGUGUGUGUUUCUGUUGGAAUGGAUAUGAAUAUUUUAUUUCAUUAUUUGUACUGAUUGAACUACAGCAGACAGGGUCUACGUGGUGACUUUUCCUUGUUUGUUUGUUUGUAUAGUCAGCUCUGUUAUGCAUGUUUACGAUUGACUGACAACUAGUUAAGAAUAUUUGGAUGCUUUAGUUCAGCUAGUAUUUUUUUAUUUUUAUUGUGCUGCUAAAGAUGAAGUUUUUCCUAUUUCUGAGUAGGGAACUUUCUGUUUGCGCCGCAUGUAUUUAACUAUGUGCGGAGGAGGCCUCAAUGCUUAGUUCAUUAUUUCUUUAUAUGAUGUUUCAGCAUUAUAUUACAGUUUGAUAAAUACAAGAUUAUCGUGUAUGAUUCAGGGAUAUCCGUUACCUCUUUAUGUUUGACAAUAGUGCAAUACUGCUUUACAAUUCACAGUGAAGAACCAUAAAUCAUGCUUAUUACUUAAGAAGAAUACAGCAAUUACUGUGACAAUAUGACCUAUGAAGUUCCCAACCUUUUGCAGAUUAGUUAUUAGGGGUGUAGGCACAAGUGGUUGUGUUCUGAAUUCCAUUUAACUGAUCUCAGGAGAUGUAUAAAAUAUAAAUUAUAGAAAACAACACCAUGCAUAAUUGUCGAUAUGUUUAUUGCAUAAAAUUUACACAGGUACUCAUCAUGUCUGAUUCUUAACAACAAUUGCAAACGUCUUGAUAGAUAAUCUCAUACCAUAUAUAUGCAUUGUACUGUUGAAUGGAACAAUUGUGGUUGUUGAACUACAAGAUACCAUUCUUAGAAGCAUGAUCAUACAUAUGGACAAGUUGUUGACAGCUUGUCAGAAAUUACAACAAUGGCUGAUUACUGAACAGUUUUUGCUAUUGCAGCUGUAAUCUGGUGCAGAAUGCAGGGGUUUAGUUUCUGAUAAUUAUAACAAAAAAUUAUAGUAUCAAUCUGCAUGUUUUACAAUAUUAGUUUGAGGGAAUACCCCAGUUUCACUGCUUUGGCUGGUGGUUCACUGAAUUGAGGCUGUGGCUGGCUUAGCUGGAGACUGAUAGCCUGUAAAUCAUAUCCAUUUCUGAUAGUGCAGGAAGGACUGGAUGCUGCAUCUUUUUCAUUGGUACUCCUUGCUUCAUAAACCUAAGAUCCAUAUCUUCUGUUUAGUUUUAGUUGAAGUAAACUUGAAGUAUUUAGCUUCUAGAUAAAUUGCAUUAGGACUAAAUAUGUGCUUUGUCUGUGUGCACAGACUUGUUAAUCAUACAUGCCUAACUUUUUUAGAGAUGAAUAUCUGAUUCCUAAAUUGUACUCAUCAAGUGCAGUCCUUCCUGCACAUGAGUUAUAGGUGAAUAUCUGAUUCCUAAAUUGUAGAAUGUUUUUUCACAACCGCCUACCUUCUUUUGUAGCUCUGCGUUUUCUUUUUGGAUAAGCUCCAUCUUUUUAUAGAGUUCCGCAUUUUCUUGAUGAAUGAGAUUUCCCUACAAUUGCAUUAAUGGAAAUUGGUCAAAAGUUUGUGGGAAAACCUCAGUCAAACAUAGCAAGAAUAAAACCAGUCUCCUGAAACCUUUUGGUGUAACUCCUUAAUCUCAUCAGUCAAAAUUUGGUCCUGCAGGGAAAUAGAUUAUGCUGUAAGAGUAAUAAAGGUGUUGUCAAAAAGAUGGAAUCUUGAAACAUGAGUCAAAGAAAUUUGAUUUGAUGUGACCAUCAUACCUUUUUCAUGCGAACACCCUUUAAACUCAUCUCCAGUUGGUUUUCCAGAUUUUGUAGUUCUUUAACACCCAAACCAGAAAGUCCUUCACCCAUUAAUUGCCUACUUUUACCAUGAAGAAAGUGUCAAACAACCACUUUAUCCCAAAAACUUAAGCUGGUGGGUAAGGGACUAAGGGUCACUUUAAUGGUUUUAUAUUAUAUUCUAACACGCCUCCUCACGCAAGAGCCCUUUGGGCUUGAAGCAUGGAUAAAUGCACAGGCCCACCUACCAUGUGCUUAAUUAAAUUCCACUUUUUAAUCAGAAAGUGAGGGGAGCAAGGAUCGAACUCUAGACCUCUCGGUCAUAGAGGCUCUGAUACCAUGUCAAACAACCACUUUAUCCCAAAAGCUUAAGCUGGUGGGUAAGGAUCAUUUUAAUGGUUUUAUAUUAUUCUAACAGAAAGUAUGAGAUAAUUUUUCAUCUUAGAUGGGUUUAUUUCUAGCAGAAAAAUAUUGUAAGUUUCUAAGCUUAAUUUUUUAUAGUAUGGCUAGUUGUGUGUCAAGAAGCUCUAGUUGUCCUAUUUACAACAUUUUUUUUCACUGUCAGUGUUUUCAGAUCACAUGUUCUACUUAUAAUAAAUUGCUGUAGAGUUCUGAGUGAAUCAUUGGACCAAAAUUAUAUGAUUUACUAGAGUUCAGCUCUGCAGUGAUUUCAAAGCUAUUUUUUUGAAUUCACCUUUCCUUAAAGCCUAAUAUUGAAAGCUAUUCGUUUUUCAUAUCAAAGCCAAAUAACACAGUGGAAGGUUAGACUUAACAAGUUAUUUAUGAAAUAUUGUCAAACUUUGCUCCUUAUGUCUUGUCUUUUGAGUCUAUCUCUUCCAUUUCAUAUGUGGGAUGCCUCCAAUGUCUUUACCUCACUAAUGAGACACUCAAUAUAUAUUAAUUUCAUGCUAUGGAAAUGCUUGGGAGGGAGGAGAAGCAAAGAUGGAUAUGACUUUCCUUUUUGUUGAUAUUUUGGUAGAGAUUAGAAAGGUGCCUGGUAAAAUUCUUUUCCUUUUCCGAUUUUAUGCCCUCCCUAUAAUUUUACUCUCACCAAAAAGUGAUGAUAGUAACCUGCUUCAUUCUAUAUUCUUGCUUUUAGUACAAUUAUGCAACUGCUGGGCUUUCAUGCAUUUAUUAUAUUACCUGUGACAUUCUUGCAAGUAUUGUAGUUGUUGUCUCAAGCUUGCUGCUUCUGUCUGCCAAAACUAGCAAGUAGAAAUACAGAUAUCAGAUAUAUUUCACCGUUAUUAUCGGAGGAACUUAUUUUAAUACAAGAUUGUAGGGUAGAGAAUUUGAGGACUAACAUAAUGGACAAGAGCCAACAUCAGGAAUCAGGAUGCUUUUUAGACUAUAAAUAUUGCUAGUAUGGUGAUUUGCCUUAUUAUUUUACUGCACGUAAGUUAUUUUGGUGUCCUAACCAUAUUUUUAAAAUUCUUUAUAUAGUAGAAUAUCCCCUCUUUAGGCUGAAUUCGAUAGUCUUGGAUUUGGCCCGUUAUGUAACAAUAUGAGCUUGGUUGGAAGAAAUUCCAAUAUGCCCCUUCCUUCAUCCAAUUUACCCAGAAAGAGAAUAUGGUAUAACAGAGCAUAUAGCUCAAAAAACUGAAAAGAGAGAAAAGAGUGAUCACCUUUUAUUGGUGAUUGGAUAUAACUAGAGAACGAAGGAGUUCUCCUCUAAAUUUACCCUGGCUGCAGCAGAGCAAAUUCUCAGUUCUGAAAUGUUAACAAUCCAGAAUGAUCCGCCAACCUUUGCAUCCCCCUAUUUUCUUAUGUCACAAAUCCACUCUAACUUCUGUAACUGUCAAAACUAACAUCUAUUUUGUUAUUCUUCCCCUCUAACUACUUGAAGCAAAUGCCCUUCUAUCUAACAAAUUAUAACACGGUUAUGAUAAUUUUGGUAUCAUAGAUAAUUUCUGGUUGUUAUUCCUGUUAGGAAGAAUAGAAAUCUGGAAGAGUUUUGCUUGAAUACCCUAGUAUCCUUUAUUUUGGGGAUAUAAGGGAAUUGGCUAUGCAUAAUGCUUAUUUUACAUGAUGUGUAUCUAAUAAGAAGAGAGAUCAAACUAGACAAAUGGCUCUUCCUUAGGAGCAACUAGUGUUUUUGAAGCAUAGAGGGUAGGUGAUGUGAUCCUUUUUUUUGUUGUGGCUUUUUUGGCACAUGAAGGUGUUACCAUCACUUUAGCAUCUACAAUCUUUUCCAAAUCCACACCACCCAUCCCAACUUCCUUGAGUUAAGUCAAAAUGAUAUGGCUUUUAGAAAUAAUAAGGGUAAAUGAGAUAAAGUAUACCGGAAUCUAGUUAGAAGUAAUAUUGGAAUCUACCUUUCGUUGUUUAUAUAUAAGGUAAUUUCAAGAAUAUUGUUUUUUGUUUGUUCUCUCAUCUUGUGGAAUGAUUUUAAAUCAAUGGAAGGGAUCUCUUUAGUGUACCCCUUUCUCUUGGUUCUCUCUCAUCUGAAGUCAAGACACAAUUUUAGCCAACAAGCUAGAUGUAGAAGAGAAAAUAGAGCUGCUUUCUACUGAGUCAUUAUCAUUUUAUUGUAGUUCUAGACAUGCUUAUUGAACAAAUCUAAGCAACAAUGCAACUGUGCAUGCUUUUUGUGAACUGUAUGUAGAGGUUAGAGAAUUGAGAGAAGAUAUAAAUGCAAGGUUAGCGAUAUGCAGACAAACCUUACAAACAUAUGGCUUCUGACUAAAUAAAAGCAAAGCAGAAUAUAUGGAAUGUAGUUUGUACAAGACUGAUGUAGAAUCAGAAAUAAGUUGAUGAAGCCUACAACAAGUUUUAAUUAUUUGGUCUGUUAGUGAGACAGUGAAGCAUACAUCAGGCUAUUAAUCUUCUAUUUGGAUCUUCACUUACAUGCAAGCUCUUGCACAUUGGUACCUCAAUUCUAUAUUUUAUUGAAUGAGACUCGGCAAACGACUAAAGGGUGAAAUAUAUGAUGACACUUUCACACAGCAGAGACAAUCUAAGCAGAUUGACAUGUAUGUGCAUCUGUAACUAGGUGCAAAGUGCAGUUAUCUAAAGAGUCACGACAACUACAGACACCAUUGGAACACGUGUUGGCAUUGGACUGCUCUGCGAUGUGUAGUUUCCUGCAAUAAACAUUUAUUAUUUGGCUUUCUACUUUUGUCGCCAAAUUCAAGUUGUUGUUCAGGUAUUAUUAGAAAUAAUUUGAACUGCAUAAUAUAUGCAAAUUGAGUAAUGUAAUAAUGUAAUGCCUGAAACCAUGAAGUUUAACAGUAAAUAUAUUAUAAAAGCAGAGUUACCUUGAGUUC
Lotus japonicus is the source of this 5644-nucleotide long non-coding RNA. RefSeq lists it as uncharacterized. The record is from RefSeq and is a predicted model, not a curated record. Lineage: Eukaryota; Viridiplantae; Streptophyta; Magnoliopsida; Fabales; Fabaceae. The transcript has 3 exons.